CGUUAAGAAGCUUUCAGAGCCAAGCGCCAGCCUUUUAAGCUGGAGAGGGUGAAUCUCGACCACCCUUAAUGA
This 72-nucleotide transfer RNA is filed under the name Bregmaceros nectabanus (smallscale codlet). RNAcentral's name for it is "tRNA-Lys". Lineage: Eukaryota; Metazoa; Chordata; Actinopteri; Gadiformes; Bregmacerotidae. The record is from RNAcentral.